UCUAAUAUGGCAGAUAAGUGCCAUGGACUUAAGCCCCAUACAUAAAGAAUCCUCCUCUUUUAUUAGAA
Molecule: transfer RNA, 68 nt
Filed under: Elliptorhina chopardi
Lineage: Eukaryota; Metazoa; Arthropoda; Insecta; Blattodea; Blaberidae
Description: tRNA-Leu
Source: RNAcentral